CCUACGGGGGGCAGCAGUGAGGAAUAUUGGUCAAUGGACGAGAGUCUGAACCAGCCCAGUAGCGUGAAGGAUGACUGCCCUAUGGGUUGUAAACUUCUUUUAUCUGGGAAUAAAAUGUUCCACGUGUGGGAUUUUGUAUGUACCUUAUGAAUAAGGAUCGGCUAACUCCGUGCCAGCAGCCGCGGUAAUACGGAGGAUCCGAGCGUUAUCCGGAUUUAUUGGGUUUAAAGGGAGCGUAGGUGGAUUGUUAAGUCAGUUGUGAAAGUUUGCGGCUCAACCGUAAAAUUGCAGUUGAAACUGGCAGUCUUGAGUACAGUAGAGGUGGGCGGAAUGCGUGGUGUAGCGGUGAAAUGCUGAGAUAUCACGAAGAACUCCGAUUGCGAAGGCAGUUCACUGGACUGCAACUGACACUGAGGCUCGAAAGUGUGGGUAUCAAACAGGAUUAGAUACCCUGGUAGUC
This 460-nucleotide ribosomal RNA is filed under the name uncultured bacterium. RNAcentral describes it as "partial 16S ribosomal RNA". It matches the Rfam family "Bacterial small subunit ribosomal RNA", at positions 338 to 795 of the family's 1533-position model. The record is from RNAcentral.